Molecule: ribosomal RNA, 372 nt
Filed under: uncultured organism
Description: bacterial SSU rRNA
Rfam family: Bacterial small subunit ribosomal RNA
Source: RNAcentral
CGUAGGGUGCGAGCGUUAAUCGGAAUUACUGGGCGUAAAGUGUGCGCAGGUGGCCGCGCAUGUCGAGUGUGAAAUCCCCGGGCUUAACUUGGGAAUUGCGCUCGAAACUACGUGGCUCGAGUGUGGCAGAGGAAGGUGGAAUUCCACGUGUAGCGGUGAAAUGCGUAGAGAUGUGGAGGAACACCGAUGGCGAAGGCAGCCUUCUGGGCCAACACUGACGCUCAUGCACGAAAGCGUGGGGAGCAAACAGGAUUAGAUACCCUGGUAGUCCACGCCCUAAACGAUGAUGACUAGUUGUUGGAGGAGUUAAAUCCUUUAGUAACGCAGCUAACGCGUGAAGUCAUCCGCCUGGGGAGUACGGUCGCAAGAUUA